Mustela putorius furo (domestic ferret) is the source of this 305-nucleotide unclassified non-coding RNA. It matches the Rfam family "Metazoan signal recognition particle RNA". From Rfam's summary of the family: The signal recognition particle (SRP) is a universally conserved ribonucleoprotein. It is involved in the co-translational targeting of proteins to membranes. The eukaryotic SRP consists of a 300-nucleotide 7S RNA and six proteins: SRPs 72, 68, 54, 19, 14, and 9. The record is from Ensembl. Lineage: Eukaryota; Metazoa; Chordata; Mammalia; Carnivora; Mustelidae.
GUCAGGCACAGUGACACACACCUGUAGUCCCACCUACUUGGGAGGCUGAGGCAAGAGGAUCACUUGGGCCUAGGAGUUCUAGGCUAUCCUAUGGUAUGCCAAUCAGUUGUCCACACUAAGUUUGGCUUCAAUAAGGUGACCUCCAAGGACCAGAGGACCAUCAGGUUGCCUAAGGUGGGGUGAACCGGACCAUGUCCAAAACAGACCAAGUCAAAACUACCACACUGAUCAGUAGCAGGAUUGUGCCUAUGAUUAGCCAGAACACAAUAGCAGAGCACACAGAGCCCACACUGGAGGUACUCCCU